AGAGUUUGAUCCUGGCUCAGGACGAACGCUGGCGGCGUGCCUAAUACAUGCAAGUAGAACGCUGAAGGAGGAGCUUGCUUCUCUGGAUGAGUUGCGAACGGGUGAGUAACGCGUAGGUAACCUGCCUGGUAGCGGGGGAUAACUAUUGGAAACGAUAGCUAAUACCGCAUAAGAGUAGAUGUUGCAUGACAUUUGCUUAAAAGGUGCACUUGCAUCACUACCAGAUGGACCUGCGUUGUAUUAGCUAGUUGGUGGGGUAAGGGCUCACCAAGGCGACGAUACAUAGCCGACCUGAGAGGGUGAUCGGCCACACUGGGACUGAGACACGGCCCAGACUCCUACGGGAGGCAGCAGUAGGGAAUCUUCGGCAAUGGACGGAAGUCUGACCGAGCAACGCCGCGUGAGUGAAGAAGGUUUUCGGAUCGUAAAGCUCUGUUGUAAGAGAAGAACGAGUGUGAGAGUGGAAAGUUCACACUGUGACGGUAUCUUACCAGAAAGGGACGGCUAACUACGUGCCAGCAGCCGCGGUAAUACGUAGGUCCCGAGCGUUGUCCGGAUUUAUUGGGCGUAAAGCGAGCGCAGGCGGUUAGAUAAGUCUGAAGUUAAAGGCUGUGGCUUAACCAUAGUAGGCUUUGGAAACUGUUUAACUUGAGUGCAAGAGGGGAGAGUGGAAUUCCAUGUGUAGCGGUGAAAUGCGUAGAUAUAUGGAGGAACACCGGUGGCGAAAGCGGCUCUCUGGCUUGUAACUGACGCUGAGGCUCGAAAGCGUGGGGAGCAAACAGGAUUAGAUACCCUGGUAGUCCACGCUGUAAACGAUGAGUGCUAGGUGUUAGACCCUUUCCGGGGUUUAGUGCCGUAGCUAACGCAUUAAGCACUCCGCCUGGGGAGUACGACCGCAAGGUUGAAACUCAAAGGAAUUGACGGGGGCCCGCACAAGCGGNAAGAGCGAUGAGACAGUCUUGGUUGAGCUGUCGAAAAGACAGAUCUAAGAGUUCAAAACCAGCUUUAUUAUUUGAAAAAGUGAGUGGUUUAAGAACAGUUUUCCUCGAACAUUCAAGGCUGUAACAUCGUGUUUAUUUUUAGCGACAUCAAUACCUACAUAAAGCAUGGGAGUACCUCCAGAUAUAGUAUUUCAAGUCUACUUGGUUAUCCACGAACUUUUUGCCUUGUUACCUUAGACGAGAUAAAACGUCUAUGCGUUAUCAAACUCAUUACCAAUUGAAACAAAAAGCUGUGGUUAGAGCCUUUCGGAAAUCGUCAAGCGAUUGGAGGAAAUGAACUAAUCCACAGUGACUUAUUCCAAGUAUACCACUUGGGCUUUGGCAGUAGCUAACUGCGCUAAAUAUAAUAUAAGGAGAAAUAGAUGGAUUUAUGGUUUUCUGAAGU
RNAcentral lists this ribosomal RNA (1386 nucleotides) under Streptococcus pneumoniae. RNAcentral describes it as "bacterial SSU rRNA". The stretch from base 1 to 1102 matches the Rfam family "Bacterial small subunit ribosomal RNA". Lineage: Bacteria; Bacillati; Bacillota; Bacilli; Lactobacillales; Streptococcaceae. The record is from RNAcentral.